UAGGAUCAUAAAGCCUAUAGCCUUCAGUUUCUUUAUUAUACCCUACAAAAAUACAUUUGAUGCUUUUAUCAUCCAGUUUCUUUCUCAAUUCAAUAGGCACAAAAGCAUAAGCAAUAGAACCAAAUUUCUUUAAGUGACUUACAGUGGGCUUGUAUUUAUACCAAAGUUCAUAAGGAGUAAUUCCUUCAACUACUUGAGUUGGAAAUCUAUUAAAAAGCUAUAAUGCAACUCCGACAGCUUCUGCCCAGAAAUUGUUAGGAAGGGUUUUGUCUCUUAGCAUGCUUCAGCAGUGACAACUAUAGUUCUUUUUUCAUUUAGUGACUUUAUUUUGCUGUGGAGUAUAACUUGCCGUAAGUUGCCUUUAGAUGCCAUUAUAGCUGCAAAAAUUAUUAAAUUAUAUGGAUGUGAACUCGUCACCACGAUUGGUGUGUAGUGUUAAUAAGGGAUAUCUUUUUUUUCCUUUUUAACCAUGGUUUGAAUUGUUUUUGAAACAUUUAAAAACUUCUGACUUCUCUUUCAAAAAUUACACCCAUCUCUUUCUUGAGAAAUCAUCUGCAUGCACCAACAUCAAUGGCUUUGGAGCUCUCCACAAUUUUCCUUUGGGAAACAUCUUUUAGAAAUGCUUUCUAAAGAUACAAGCUUCACAAUUUUGCCUUUCAUCUUUAAUCAUUGGAAUACACUUUACCGUAUUUUUUUUGCAUUACAAGGUUAGUCCUUUGAAAUUAAGGUAUCCAAAUCUUCGAUACCAAAGAAAAGAAUCAUCAGUAACUACAUCAAAGGCAUUAACAGGAACUUUUAAAAACACAAGUGGAAACAUCUUAUCUACUCCUAUUUAUAGCUGAAUAGAUUAGUUGCAUGCUCCUUUUAUCAAAUAUCAAGCAUUCAUCAACAUCGAAUACAACGUAAUAGUCUUUCUUCAAUAACUGGCAACCACUAAUUAGGUUAUGAGCUAAUCCAGGCACAUACAAAGCAUCAUGUAACAGUUUCUUUCCAAACUUUGACAUUACAGCAAUUGUACCCAUUCCACAUACCUGAACUUGAUUGUUGUUUCCCAUCCUGACGUUUGUCUUCAUGGAUUCAUCAAUCUCUUCAAAGAAUUAUUUGUUGCUAGUCACAUGAUUGCUCCCCAUACUUAUCACCAUGAGCAAAUGUGUAAGCAAGAAAUAAAUUUUCAUCAGAACCAUUUUCUUUUCCUGGGAAUUGGUAUUGUUUGCAACAUUUUUAAAACAGUUUUUCUCAAUAUGACCGUAUCGCUUGCAAUAAUAGCAAUGGGGAUGAUUUUGUUUUGGUCAUACUUCUCCUUAUACCAACAAUCUUUAUCAUUGUGGUUUGAUCUUCUACAAUAUGAGCAAGAAUUAGAAUUGUUACCUCCAUUUGAGUUCCUUUGUUGACCAUUGCUCAUUCUUCUACCUCUUCCCCUUACACAAGAUGAUCUCCCAUGACCUCGACUAGAGUUCCAUUGACUAGACUCAUCUAAUUUCUUCUUCAAAUCAAGUUUUGAUUGAAAGGCUUGCUGAAUAGGGUCUCUACCAUUCUGCUGAUGCACUGCUCAUGUGCUUGAAGUGACCCCAUUAAUUCAUUCAGAGAAUAAUUGGAUAAAUCCUUCGAUUCUUUUAUUACAGCAACAACACGAUCAAAUUUGGGAGAAAGGCAUCGUAAAACUCUCUCAACAAGCUUUUGGUCUAUCGAUUCUUCUUCGAGAGAUUUAAUCUGAUUCACCACUAAGUAAGCUUUCGAAAAAAAUUCUUGAACCGAUUCUGAUGGCUUCAUCUGCGAAUUCUCAAAUUUCCUAAGCAUGGUUUGCAGCUUCUAGUAAUCGCUUUGUUUAUUCUUUGAUACUCCAUUUCAAGUAAGUACCAUGUUUCUUUCGAUGUUGUAGUAGCCAUAACUCAUGGAAAAAUGGCAUCAUUUAGUGCUUGCUGAAUUAAGACUAGGGCUUUGGCAUCCUUCUUUUGCUUUUCUUUCAACUCAUUAGGUUGAGCAGCAAUUAGCCUCUCUACAUCUGUAAGACCAUCAAAACCAUUGUCAACCAGGUCCCAUAUAUCAUAGGACAGAAAUAGAGUCCUCAUCUUGAUAUGCCAAAACUGGUAGUUAAGUCCUGUAAA
RNAcentral lists this long non-coding RNA (2105 nucleotides) under Olea europaea subsp. europaea. The record is from RNAcentral. Lineage: Eukaryota; Viridiplantae; Streptophyta; Magnoliopsida; Lamiales; Oleaceae.